This 301-nucleotide ribosomal RNA is filed under the name uncultured bacterium. Its description in RNAcentral is "partial 16S ribosomal RNA". It matches the Rfam family "Bacterial small subunit ribosomal RNA", at positions 509 to 809 of the family's 1533-position model. The record is from RNAcentral.
CAGUCGCCGCGGGAAUACGUAGGUGGCGAGCGUUGUCCGGAAUCAUUGGGCGUAAAGGGAGCGCAGGCGGGCAUGUAAGUCUUUCUUAAAUGUUCGGGGCUCAACCCCGUGAUGGGAAAGAAACUACAUGUCUUGAGUACAGGAGAGGAAAGCGGAAUUCCCAGUGUAGCGGUGAAAUGCGUAGAUAUUGGGAGGAACACCAGUGGCGAAGGCGGCUUUCUGGACUGCAACUGACGCUGAGGCUCGAAAGCCAGGGGAGCGAACGGGAUUAGAUACCCCAGUAGUCCCUGUCUCUUAUACA